CAAGUCGAGCGCACCUUCGGGUGAGCGGCGGACGGGUUAGUAACGCGUGGGAACAUACCCCUUUCUACGGAAUAGCCUCGGGAAACUGAGAGUAAUACCGUAUACGCCCUUCGGGGGAAAGAUUUAUCGGUGAGGGAUUGGCCCGCGUUAGAUUAGAUAGUUGGUGGAGUAAUGGCCUACCAAGUCUACGAUCUAUAGCUGGUUUUAGAGGACGAUCAGCAACACUGGGACUGAGACACGGCCCAG
Molecule: ribosomal RNA, 246 nt
Filed under: uncultured bacterium
Lineage: Bacteria
Description: partial 16S ribosomal RNA
Rfam family: Bacterial small subunit ribosomal RNA
Source: RNAcentral